GAUCGAUGUUCAAAUGUUAGCAAUGUUGCCGUGGAGACAAAUCAGUUUUCGGGCAUUUGCAUCCCCCAAACGGUUUCUUUUCUUCGAGAGGAUUUGGCCAGCCGAGGAGAAAACCCUUUCCGAGGGCCCUGAUGUAGCUGGGAUAACCAAAUAUUUCUUGGCAAGCUCAAAGAGCCGAGGAUACUUUUCUCUCCCGGUCUCUUUCCACCAAUCGAGUGGAUUGGUCCAUCUUGGCUGGCACGGGGAAUUCAAGAAUCCUUGAAUGUCUGGAGAAGGCGGUGCUUGUUCGACAACCUCCGAGUCAAAUGCAUCCCAUAGUGACGUUGAAGCCAGUGGUGCAGAAGACCUUUUGCAAAGAGGCACUUGACUGGGCAUGUCUGACAGUUCGGAUUGAACUUGAUGAGAGGCAAGUUGCACUUUGGUUUCAUCUCUGAAACCCUUCGUUUUGAAUCGAGGAUCCAAAAUAGUAGCAACGGCCAAUUUAACGUUAUCCUCAACAGAUCCGAAUCGGCGGAGCAAAUUGUCACUGAUGGCCUUGGCAAGGUCGUAUCUUACGGUACCAGGUAAUGAACUUCGGAUCAAGGCAUCAUAAUUGAUGAGGAGCAUCUUCGUGAUGGGAAUAAUUUUUGAUCCUGUUGUCCUCUUCUCACUAGAGAGCUCUACGGUGGCUUCAAAAAGUGGGCGAAGGACAUGGACCGCAUCCUGAAUGCCUUGCCAUGUGUUCGAAUCAAAGAUUCCCACCUUCUCGCGCAUUCCCGGCUCCGUAAGCAAAACGGAGACCGGACCCCUAAGCUCAAGAAGCCUUUCCAGCAUCUCAAAGAUGGACGAUACCUCCCUAAAUGCAUAAUUGGCAACCAGGUUCAAAGAGUGAGCAUAGCAUGCAACGUGGGUAAUGCCAAUAUCUUUGAUCGCCUUCACCACAUUGGCACCGUUGUCGGUGACUCCGACGAGAAUCUUGUUCCCGAGAUUGUUCCUCUCAAAGACGGUUCGAAGCUCCAUUGAAAUAGUCUCCGCGGUAUGGCGACCCCGAACUCUAACGCAAUCAAGGAUCAUCGAUUGUGGCGUAAGUGUCACUUCAUCACAGUAAUGAACUGUCACUGCGAUAAAUCCACUGCAAUUGAUCGAAGACCACAAAUCUGUAGUGAUCGACACCCAACUAGCUUGUUGGAGCCGAAUCUUGGCAUUUGCAUGAACUUUGUCAAACAUGUUGGAAAUGUAAAUGUCGGAUAAAGUUCGUCUUGAGGGUAGGGCAUAGAGAGGAUUGAGAGUGUGGCAAAACUUCUUAAAUCCCUCAUCUUCGACGAUGGAUAAAGGUUGCAAAUCUUUGACAACCAUGAAGCAUAGCGAUUGGUCUAGGUUCUUUUUUCUGUCGCAAUUUGGAGGAUAGGUCUUAACCGCAGAUCUCGUUGGCCCAACUUGCCCUAAAUAAAGUGGUUUUAGUAAUAAAGUUUUGCCUUGUUUUGUUAACUCGUAGCUUCUUACCUUGGAUUCUCUCCAACUCUACCAUGUGUUUUUUCCUGAGAUGUUGCCAAAGAGUUGUCGUUGCCUGGUUUGUUGUCUUGUAUUCAUUCUCACAAUACAAGCAUCUUGCAUUGGUUUUUCCACGCUUUUCAAACAUUUUCCAUAACACCUGAGAACACCUUUGCUUGCCAUAUUGAAUAAGGUUGCUGAAAUUAGAACACCUACUAUGCUUAAUUUUGUCAAACUGUUUUUUCUAGAGAUCAUUUCAUGCCAUAUGGAAUCCGAAUGGAGGCGCGCAUUAGAGAGAAAUGAGUCACUUACUUGGAUUCUUCGUCAUCUAAAUUCGAUGGAGUGACGACAUUUGACUCCUCGAGAAUAUUGUCAGGAUCUAAGUCCUCGUCCACAAUCGAGCCCAAUGGAGGCGAAGGCGGAUCUGUACAAUUGACGAGGUGGCACUCCAAAUGUGCCGAUCUUGGAUGACAGAAUCUUCCGAUUCUUGCCCAUCCUCCGAAUCUUCCAAUACCUCCGAACUUCGUGGAACGAUUCCGAUUUCGUCGACGAUAAUGUCGGGGAAGGACACGUUAUUUUCAACACUUGAUCCACCCGCUUCAAACUCAAUCUCCAAUGGCGUACCACAUGGCGCAGGCUCAGUCACAAGUUCUUGCCCAUGGCGAAUCGAGAUGGCUGAAGAAACUUCCGCCCAAGUAUUAGAGUCGGAUCCAUUAACUUGUUGCCAGAAUGAUAAUCUGUUGUUAGAAGCCAUGUUACAAUAAGAGUCAAGAUAUAUCA
Molecule: long non-coding RNA, 2250 nt
Organism: Tigriopus californicus
Lineage: Eukaryota; Metazoa; Arthropoda; Copepoda; Harpacticoida; Harpacticidae
Exons: 3
Source: RefSeq, a predicted model, not a curated record